CUUCUCGAACUGAGGCAUCUGAAAGCGGAACAGGAGACGACAUCACUGGAGUGACAUGAUUCGAAGUGAUUGCAUCGUGCCUGACCACGCCUCGAUUUCAUAUACGACGUUAGCGACAGGACCAGGAGCAUGCUGAAGAGCGACUGAACAUCCGCCUGGUCCUGUAAUAGAGCCGACAGUGAGCUCUCCGAAGGCAAAACCCAAACGACAGAACAUGGUGUGCAUCUUUCUUCUACCUGCUGUUUGAUAUGAAUCUGGGAGAGACGCUGGAGCUUGGUCGAGUGCUCGGGAACAUCUGGAAGACAUACACUGUUACUAUUUACAUUCUGACAAAUAAGACGACAACAAAACGGGGUUACCUCGGAUGUAGGUGCUCUCCAGCAGCGGCUGCAAAUUGCUGGCCUGCUCCAGCAAAGCAGCCUGGGAAAUCAGGAAGUCCUCCUCUGUAGGCCACAUGAUAGUAAGUUAAAAUAUCCAUGUCAAGAUAAUUCAGCAUUUGUAUUUUUGCAUUUCUCACCGGCGAGAAUAAACUCCAGCUUCAUGGUGUCAGGCACAGCGAUGUGGUCGGUGAACUGAGGGUCCAGGUACUUCAUCAGGUCCUCAACUGCGCAAAUAUAAAAAUUCAUUAGAAGCUGAAGCUAAUCUGAUUUUAAUAAAGGCUGUGUGACUCAC
Syngnathus acus (greater pipefish) is the source of this 672-nucleotide long non-coding RNA. RefSeq lists it as uncharacterized. Lineage: Eukaryota; Metazoa; Chordata; Actinopteri; Syngnathiformes; Syngnathidae. The record is from RefSeq and is a predicted model, not a curated record. The transcript has 2 exons.